UUUCCGGUUGAUCCUGCCGGACCUGACUGCUAUCGGAUUGAUACUAAGCCAUGUGAGUCAUUGUAGCAAUACAAGGCAGACGGCUUAGUAACACGUAGCCAACCUACCCUAUGGACGGGGAUGACCUCGGGAAACUGAGGAUAAACCCCGAUAGAUCAUUUUACCUGGAACGGUUUAUGGUCCAAAUGAUUCGUCGCCGUAGGAUGGGACUGCGGCCUAUCAGCUUGUUGGUGAGGUAAUGGCCCACCAAGGCUAUUACAGGUACGGGCUCUGAGAGGAGAAGCCCGGAGAUGGGUACUGAGACACGGACCCAGGCCCUAUGGGGCGCAGCAGGCGAGAAAACUUUGCAAUGUGCGCAAGCACGACAAGGUUAAUCCGAGUGUUUCCUGCUAAAGGAAACUUUUGCUAGUCCUAAAAACACUAGCGAAUAAGGGGUGGGCAAGUUCUGGUGUCAGCCGCCGCGGUAAAACCAGCACCUCAAGUGGUCAGGAGGAUUAUUGGGCCUAAAGCAUCCGCAGCCUGCUUUGUAAGUUUCCGGUUAAAUCCAUUAGCUUAACUUAUGGGCCGCCGGAAAAACUGCAAAGCUAGGGAGUGGGAGAGGUAGACGGUACUCGGUAGGAAGGGGUAAAAUCCUUUGAUCUAUUGAUGACCACCUGUGGCGAAGGCGGUCUACCAGAACACGUUCGACGGUGAGGGAUGAAAGCUGGGGGAGCAAACCGGAUUAGAUACCCGGGUAGUCCCAGCUGUAAACGAUGCAGACUCGGUGAUGCCCUGGCUUGUGGCCAGUGCAGUGCCGCAGGGAAGCCGUUAAGUUUGCCGCCUGGGAAGUACGUACGCAAGUAUGAAACUUAAAGGAAUUGGCGGGGGAGCACCACAAGGGGUGAAGCCUGCGGUUCAAUUGGAUUCAACGCCGGA
RNAcentral lists this ribosomal RNA (915 nucleotides) under uncultured marine group I thaumarchaeote. Its description in RNAcentral is "bacterial SSU rRNA". It matches the Rfam family "Archaeal small subunit ribosomal RNA", at positions 1 to 922 of the family's 1478-position model. The record is from RNAcentral. Lineage: Archaea; Thermoproteati; Nitrososphaerota.